Non-coding RNA from Canis lupus familiaris (dog), 90 nucleotides. Lineage: Eukaryota; Metazoa; Chordata; Mammalia; Carnivora; Canidae. The record is from Rfam.
GGGGGGAGGCCGGAUCCUGGGCUGUGUCCCGGCGCCCUGUGCUCUGGGGCCUGCGCUGUUGGAUUCGGGCUCCCGGUGGGGCAGCCCCCU